This is a long non-coding RNA of Bubalus bubalis (water buffalo), 910 nucleotides long. RefSeq lists it as uncharacterized. NCBI's taxonomy places the organism in Eukaryota, Metazoa, Chordata, Mammalia, Artiodactyla, Bovidae. The record is from RefSeq and is a predicted model, not a curated record. The transcript is spliced from 3 exons.
UGCUGUGUCGCUUCAGUCGUGUCCGACUCUGUUAGGAAGGGAAAUUUUAUGCUAUGGGUUUUCUUUUAAAUAAGGGUAGUGAAAGACAAAAAGAAAUGUCGUCUGUUUUGAAAUUUUGCACAGAGCAGGCUCUGAAUGGAAAUUUUUGGGUUUUAUUUUUGGUUUUGUUUUAUUUUUUUAAGAGACAGAAGGGAGAGAUGUGCUGUGGUUGUUGCUUUUCUGUCUGGAGUGCCCAACUCUGAAUUCCUAUUGGUGGGUUAAUUCAGGGUCUCUUUCACCAUCGAUGUCAAGUUCAGUUCCCACGGACUGAGCACCUCCCACAAGGUCCGUGCUCCUGCGAGUCCUCAUUUGUAGGGACCACUCUCCCUAUUUUACAGAGGGAGAAACUGAGAAACCGCAACUCCUCCAGGAUCCAAGAGCUGGCCUUCGAAAACUUGGAAGUGGAAAAUAAGAGGCUUCAUAGAUCUCCUUGAGAACAAGUGCGGGACACAGUGUGAGCAGAGGAGGCCAGUCAAAGACAGUUCACUGUGUGCAUCCCCCGGCCAGCAUCCUGCAACUUCACCUCCACUCUGUGCACCCAGUUCAAGCCCAGCACAGGCAAACGCCCCUCCACGUGAAGACACACACGUGCAGAGCUAGCAAACAGCACGAGCUCUGGCGAGCCAAGGAGCAAGGACUUCUGAGCUGGUUGCCUUCCUUCUUGCAAUCUCAUGAGGACCCCACAGCAAAUAACCGUGCUUCCUUGUGUUUACGGGCUUCCCUGGUGACUCAGUGGCAUGAAGAAGUCCAGCCCCUAUCCCGACCCUCUGGAGACCUGCUGAGUCACCCAAGCUGAGUCCUGGGUCUUAUCGAUCUGGUCAAAAGAACAAAAUGCCAGGUGCCAAUGAUUCUUCCCCUGGGCAGGAGCCAC